Molecule: non-coding RNA, 45 nt
Filed under: Echinostoma caproni
Lineage: Eukaryota; Metazoa; Platyhelminthes; Trematoda; Plagiorchiida; Echinostomatidae
Source: RNAcentral
GCACUGCCGACGAAUCCCAAACAGGACGAAACAGCUGUUCAGUGC